CACGUAGUUGGCCGGGGCUUCUUCUGCAGGUACCGUCACGAUCGUCCCUGCUGAAAGCGGUUUACAACCCGAAGGCCUUCAUCCCGCACGCGGCGUCGCUGCAUCAGGCUUUCGCCCAUUGUGCAAGAUUCCCCACUGCUGCCUCCCGUAGGAGUCUGGGCCGUGUCUCAGUCCCAGUGUGGCUGGACAUCCUCUCAGACCAGCUAUCCGUCGUAGCCUUGGUGAGCCGUUACCUCACCAACAAGCUGAUAGACCGCGAGCCCAUCCCGAAGCGGAAUCCAUUUCCUCACCUCAACAUGCGUUGUGGUGAGGGCAUCCGGUAUUAGCACCGGUUUCCCGGUGUUAUCCCGGUCUUCGGGGCAGGUUGCUCACGUGUUACGCACCCGUUCGCCACUUUCCACCCGGGCAAGCCCGGGCUUCACGUUCGACUUGCAUGUGUUAAGCGCGCCGCCAGCGUUCGUCCUGAGCAGGAUCAAACUCU
RNAcentral lists this ribosomal RNA (481 nucleotides) under uncultured Actinomycetes bacterium. Its description in RNAcentral is "uncultured actinobacterium partial 16S ribosomal RNA". The record is from RNAcentral. Lineage: Bacteria; Bacillati; Actinomycetota; Actinomycetes.